This 253-nucleotide ribosomal RNA is filed under the name uncultured bacterium. RNAcentral describes it as "partial 16S ribosomal RNA". It matches the Rfam family "Bacterial small subunit ribosomal RNA", at positions 524 to 776 of the family's 1533-position model. The record is from RNAcentral.
UACGGAGGGUGCAAACGUUGCUCGGAAUCAUUGGGCGUAAAGCGCACGUAGGCGGUCUGCUAUGUCGGGUGUGAAAUCCCUCGGCUUAACCGAGGAAGUGCAUUCGAAACUGGCAGACUUGAAUACUCAAGAGGGUCUCGGAAUUUACGGUGUAGCAGUGAAAUGCGUAGAGAUCGUAAGGAAGACCAGUGGCGAAGGCGGGUCUCUGGACAGUUCCUGACACUGAGGCACGAAGGCCAGGGGAGCAAACGGG